Molecule: long non-coding RNA, 451 nt
Organism: Pongo pygmaeus (Bornean orangutan)
Lineage: Eukaryota; Metazoa; Chordata; Mammalia; Primates; Hominidae
Exons: 4
Source: RefSeq, a predicted model, not a curated record
AAAGUAGGCAGAUUGACAUUUCUGGCAGAACCCUAGGAGCAGAAAAAUAUCUGAAAAACAAAUAAGCACCUGUGACGCCCUGUGACUACAGAGUUCCAGUAGAACUAUAAUCUGUGAAAUUUAGGAAGACUCAAAGCAGGUACAAAGUUAUUUAAAAUUGAAUCACAUGGUCUUCACAAUGUAUACGAAAACAAAAUUAAUAUAGUUAUAACAGUCUGAAUAUUUUCUUCUUAGAGAGCAACCAGAGUCACUCCUAUUUCCAUUGCUUACAUGAGUGAGAGAUGUGAGUAUUGCCCAAUGGAACAGACGAGAAGUAAUCACAGACAUUAUUGCAAAAAUCAGAAAGUCAAAGAACAACAGAACUCAUUUGACUGUAUGGGGCCUAAGAACUUAUCAGUGAGAGAGAAAUGCACAGCACAGUAUCAUAUUUAAAUAUAAUGAGUUAGCAAAA